AGCCGCCGCGGUAAUACCAGCGGUCCAAGUCGCAACCAUUUUUAUUGGGUCUAAAACAUCCGUAGCUUGCUUGGUAAGUUCCUUGUGAAAUCCUGUAUCUCAAAUACAGGGCGCGCAAGGAGUACUGCCUCGCUAGAGACUGGAAGACGUAACGAGUACGUUCUAAGUAGUGGUAAAAUAUGUUAAUCUAGAACGGACUAACAACAGCGAAGGCACGUUACGAGGACAGUUCUGACAGUAAGGGAUGAAGGCUAGGGGCGCAAAACGGAUUAGAUACCCGUGUAGUCCUAGCAGUAAACACUGCACACUAAACAUCAGUAUCUCUUCGAGAGGUAUUGGUGCUGAAGGGAAGCCGAAGAGUGUGCUACCUGGGAAGUAUAGUCGCAAGGCCGAAACUUAAAGGAAUUGGCGGGGAGACACUACAACGAGUGACGCGUGCGGUUCAAUUAGAUUCUACACCGUGAACCUCACCAGGAGCGACAGCAGAAUGAAGGUCAGUCUAAAGGGCUUACCCGACACGCUGAGCGGAGGUGCAUGGCCAACGUCAGCCUGUGCCGUGAGGUGACCUGUUAAAUCAGGUAACAGGCAAGACCCAUAUCUCUAUUUACUAAGCGUACCAUAGAGAGAUUGCCUUGGUAACGAGGAUGAAAGUCUGGGCUACGUUAGGUGAGUACACCCCUAAUCCCCUGGGCGACACGCGCGCGUCAAUGGUGAAUACAAUGGGAUGCGACACCGAAAGGUGAAGCCAAUCUCUUAAAGUUCAUCUUAGUUUAGAUCGAGGUUUGUAACUCAGCCUCGUGACACUGGAAUUCGUAGUAAUCGGAUGUUAUCAACGUCCGGUGAAUAUGUCACUGUCUCU
This 859-nucleotide ribosomal RNA is filed under the name uncultured euryarchaeote. Its description in RNAcentral is "bacterial SSU rRNA". It matches the Rfam family "Archaeal small subunit ribosomal RNA", at positions 460 to 1337 of the family's 1478-position model. Lineage: Archaea; Methanobacteriati; Methanobacteriota. The record is from RNAcentral.